GCAUAUCAAUAAGCGGAGGAAAAGAAACCAACAGGGAUUGCCUUAGUAACGGCGAGUGAAGCGGCAACAGCUCAAAUUUGAAAUCUGGCCCUUGGGUCCGAAUUGUAAUUUGUAGAGGAUGAUUUUGGUGCGGUAUCUUCCGAGUUCCUUGGAACAGGACGCCUUAGAGGGUGAGAGCCCCGUACGGUUGAAUGCCUAGCCUUUGUAAAUCUCCUUCGACGAGUCGAGUAGUUUGGGAAUGCUGCUCUAAAUGGGAGGUAAAUUUCUUCUAAAGCUAAAUAUUGGCCAGAGACCGAUAGCGCACAAGUAGAGUGAUCGAAAGAUGAAAAGCACUUUGAAAAGAGGGUUAAAUAGCACGUGAAAUUGUUGAAAGGGAAGGAUUUGUGACCAGACUUUUUCUGGGCGGAUCAUCCGGGGUUCUCUCCGGUGCACUUUGCCCAGUAAAGGCCAGCAUCGGUUUUCGGCGGGGGAUAAAAGCAGUAGGAAUGUGGCUCCUUACGGGGAGUGUUAUAGCCUAUUGUAUAAUACCCUGCUGGGGACCGAGGUACGCGCUUCUGCAAGGAUGCUGGCGUAAUGGUUAUCAAUCACCCGUCUUGAAACACGGACCAAGGAGUCGAACAUUUGUGCGAGUGUUUGGGUGUUAAACCCUCACGCGUAAUGAAAGUGAACGGAGGUGAGAGCCCUUUACGGGGUGCAUCAUCGACCGAUCCUGAAGUUUUCGGAUGGAUUUGAGUAAGAGCAUAACUGUUCGGACCCGAAAGAUGGUGAACUAUGCGUGGAUAGGGUGAAGCCAGAGGAAACUCUGGUGGAGGCUCGCAGCGGUUCUGACGUGCAAAUCGAUCGUCAAAUCUGCGCAUGGGGGCGAAAGACUAAUCGAACCAUCUAGUAGCUGGGUUACCGCCGAAG
Molecule: ribosomal RNA, 906 nt
Filed under: Pestalotia elasticae
Lineage: Eukaryota; Fungi; Ascomycota; Sordariomycetes; Amphisphaeriales; Amphisphaeriaceae
Description: LSU rRNA
Rfam family: Eukaryotic large subunit ribosomal RNA
Source: RNAcentral